RNAcentral lists this ribosomal RNA (1372 nucleotides) under uncultured bacterium. Its description in RNAcentral is "bacterial SSU rRNA". It matches the Rfam family "Bacterial small subunit ribosomal RNA", at positions 28 to 1381 of the family's 1533-position model. The record is from RNAcentral.
GAUGAACGCUGGUGGCGUGCCUAAUACAUGCAAGUCGAGCGAACGGACGAGAAGCUUGCUUCUCUGAUGUUAGCGGCGGACGGGUGAGUAACACGUGGAUAACCUACCUAUAAGACUGGGAUAACUUCGGGAAACCGGAGCUAAUACCGGAUAAUAUUUUGAACCGCAUGGUUCAAAAGUGAAAGACGGUCUUGCUGUCACUUAUAGAUGGAUCCGCGCUGCAUUAGCUAGUUGGUAAGGUAACGGCUUACCAAGGCAACGAUGCAUAGCCGACCUGAGAGGGUGAUCGGCCACACUGGAACUGAGACACGGUCCAGACUCCUACGGGAGGCAGCAGUAGGGAAUCUUCCGCAAUGGGCGAAAGCCUGACGGAGCAACGCCGCGUGAGUGAUGAAGGUCUUCGGAUCGUAAAACUCUGUUAUUAGGGAAGAACAUAUGUGUAAGUAACUGUGCACAUCUUGACGGUACCUAAUCAGAAAGCCACGGCUAACUACGUGCCAGCAGCCGCGGUAAUACGUAGGUGGCAAGCGUUAUCCGGAAUUAUUGGGCGUAAAGCGCGCGUAGGCGGUUUUUUAAGUCUGAUGUGAAAGCCCACGGCUCAACCGUGGAGGGUCAUUGGAAACUGGAAAACUUGAGUGCAGAAGAGGAAAGUGGAAUUCCAUGUGUAGCGGUGAAAUGCGCAGAGAUAUGGAGGAACACCAGUGGCGAAGGCGACUUUCUGGUCUGUAACUGACGCUGAUGUGCGAAAGCGUGGGGAUCAAACAGGAUUAGAUACCCUGGUAGUCCACGCCGUAAACGAUGAGUGCUAAGUGUUAGGGGGUUUCCGCCCCUUAGUGCUGCAGCUAACGCAUUAAGCACUCCGCCUGGGGAGUACGACCGCAAGGUUGAAACUCAAAGGAAUUGACGGGGACCCGCACAAGCGGUGGAGCAUGUGGUUUAAUUCGAAGCAACGCGAAGAACCUUACCAAAUCUUGACAUCCUUUGACAACUCUAGAGAUAGAGCUUUCCCCUUCGGGGGACAAAGUGACAGGUGGUGCAUGGUUGUCGUCAGCUCGUGUCGUGAGAUGUUGGGUUAAGUCCCGCAACGAGCGCAACCCUUAAGCUUAGUUGCCAUCAUUAAGUUGGGCACUCUAAGUUGACUGCCGGUGACAAACCGGAGGAAGGUGGGGAUGACGUCAAAUCAUCAUGCCCCUUAUGAUUUGGGCUACACACGUGCUACAAUGGACAAUACAAAGGGCAGCGAAACCGUGAGGUCAAGCAAAUCCCAUAAAGUUGUUCUCAGUUCGGAUUGUAGUCUGCAACUCGACUACAUGAAGCUGGAAUCGCUAGUAAUCGUAGAUCAGCAUGCUACGGUGAAUACGUUCCCGGGUCU